GACGAACGCUGGCGGCGUGCUUAACACAUGCAAGUCGAACGCUGAAGCUUGGUGCUUGCACUGGGUGGAUGAGUGGCGAACGGGUGAGUAAUACGUGAGUAACCUGCCCUUGACUCGGGGAUAAGCCUGGGAAACUGGGUCUAAUACUGGAUAUGACAUGCCACUGCAUGGUGGUGUGUGGAAAGGGUUUUACUGGUUUUGGAUGGGCUCACGGCCUAUCAGCUUGUUGGUGGGGUAAUGGCCUACCAAGGCGACGACGGGUAGCCGGCCUGAGAGGGUGACCGGCCACACUGGGACUGAGACACGGCCCAGACUCCUACGGGAGGCAGCAGUGGGGAAUAUUGCACAAUGGGUGGAAGCCUGAUGCAGCGACGCCGCGUGAGGGAUGACGGCCUUCGGGUUGUAAACCUCUUUCAGCACGGAAGAAGCGAGAGUGACGGUACGUGCAGAAGAAGCGCCGGCUAACUACGUG
This 472-nucleotide ribosomal RNA is filed under the name uncultured bacterium. RNAcentral describes it as "partial 16S ribosomal RNA". It matches the Rfam family "Bacterial small subunit ribosomal RNA", at positions 28 to 507 of the family's 1533-position model. The record is from RNAcentral.